RNAcentral lists this ribosomal RNA (4629 nucleotides) under Triticum aestivum (bread wheat). RNAcentral describes it as "partial small subunit ribosomal RNA". The record is from RNAcentral. Lineage: Eukaryota; Viridiplantae; Streptophyta; Magnoliopsida; Poales; Poaceae.
ACAACUGAUCAGUGAACAAAUAAAACGUCUUUUCACGCUAUUCCGUGUUUUGAGAAGAUGAUGUUUACUAGUUCACUACCUCAGUUCCUCGACUCGCACUUCCUUUCUUCAUUGGCUCCCCGGUUUGAUUUCUACCCUCCUGGUUGAACCCUUCUUUCUUCCUUCUUCCUCCCGGUUACACUUUUGCAAAUCUAGACUAGCCCUCCCCUAGUUUUAGGGAUCGGCGUAGAGGUAACGUUAGCUCGGACCGUAGAGGUAGAGAGAGGGGGAGUGGUGAAGAAGAGGGUGGAGGCCGGCGGCGGCGCCGGUCCGGUAGCACCGCCGCGCGGAGGCGCUGGAGCGAGGUGGUAGUGGGCGCGGUAGGUGGUGGGUGUGGUAGUAGAUAGGUAGUGUCGCGGUCGGUGGUCACGGGUGGAGCGCGCUGUAGAGGGAGGUCGGCCGCGCGGGCCGGUCUGUGUGGCGCGACGAAGAAGAAGGGAAGAAGGGGCGAAGAGACUUAGGGACAGACGACGAGGAAGAAGGGGCACGGGGACGACGACGAGCAGAUGUUGAGAGGGGCGACGAUAGGAAGAGGUUCGAGCGAAGGAGAGACUUAGGGAUGACGACGACGAGAAGAUGAAAGGGGAUGGAGCGACAACAAGACGAGGAAGAGGUUCGGGGGUGCGACUACGAAGAAGAGGAGUUGAAGGACGACGACGAGGAGAGGAGGCAGAACGACGACGAGGAAGGGAACGAGACGAAGAAGAGGACGACGACGAGAGAAGAACGGGUACGGAGACGACGACGAAGAGAAGAGGAUGUGGAAAAACGACGACGGAAGAGAGGGAAAGAGAGAGACUUAUGAGACAUUAAACUCUUCAUUCUUCGAAACAUUAUAAGUAUAAGAUAUUCACGUACAUUAGACGAUAUACAAGUCAAGCAUGAACAGUACACAAUUAAUCAUAAGACGAUGACAUACACACUCUAGAGAAUACACAAACAAGAGGAAUGACGUCUUUAAAUAAGUCAACAGGUACACAAUCGAGGUCAUGUACACGAUAUAUUUAUGUACACACAAAACACUACAUUUGGUACAAUCGAUCAAGUAGAGAUACCAUCAGUCAACACUCUAGUAAAUUAAAAGUCAGAGACAUAAUCGAGACAUGGACAUUAUAAACAACACUGUACUUCGUAAAAGUAGGGAUAGGUAAUAGAACAAAGAAGAGAGACAGUAUGUGAACAAUCUAUUUAUAUACACAAGAUCAUAACAACAAAGGGAAACCAGUAUAAACAUACGAACACAGUCACAGAUGAAAGAGUUCAUUUUGCUAUUAUGGUUUUUCUGACUUUCAUGUUAGACUUGGAGGGAAACAAAGACACAGUAAAGGAAACAACUACUAGAAUGAAUCAGAUCUAAAUUACAAGACGAAAGUAGUGGGUUAUAACAUAAUGGAUCGAAAUCGACUCGUAUCAACAGCAGCGGAUCAGGGACUCCUCUUGUGCUGUGGGCAUCAAAACCCGCAUUUUUGGGGUGAUGUGAGUGUUAUCUAGUAAAACCGCGGCAACGGCCCCUGAUAACAGCUCGCUAACACACUCCAAUAUCUGAUCCCAAAAGAACAAAAAGGGAAACACGAUAUAUACACACUAUAUAGAGAUUGGGGAUUGGGAACAAGUUCAAUAAAAGAGAAAGAAACGAAACAGUAAGACGUCCAAUAACGUAGAAGAGUCUAUACCGAAUGAUAAGUCUAGUAGUACGAAUACGCUCGUUGUGAUGUUUAUCGUGCCUUUCAUAAGUUCUGGACUAUUCAUUCUAAAGGGUAGCUAAUCUACUAAAUCGAGCCGUCGCUCUUCAUCAAAAACUCCUAUCCGGAUCGAGAAUACUGGGAAUAAGAUCUCCAGUAGGAAUACAACGAGGAUGUACGGUAUAAACACCUAAAGUCCCGGUAAGUGGGCGACUUACAGUCGUACCAAUGAGAGUGGGAGGUCUAACAAAACCGUACUCGAAGCGAGUUCUCGUAUCGAGUAUGGUUUUGUUAAUGAGUGUACCCACCGGACUUUUGGGCUUAUACAGUAUAUCCUUGUUGUUGGGACUCUAGAGUAGCAAACGGAGAUCAAUAGGUAACGUCCCUUAAUCCAUAUUACUCCUCUCGGUGUUGGUACGUGGUGUUGUCAAAAUAAGUGGAGGAUGAGUAUAUGGCGUCGUGGUCCUCUACACAGGUUACCUCAAUUUACCAGGAGGUAAACCAGUUGGUUGUUGAGGUCGUGGACAACACGUUAGAGUACACGUUCACGGGUGUGUUCUACUCAAGCUACUGUAUCUGUUCGAGUGUGAAAACUCAGAGCUCAAGUGAACCUCACGGCUCCUACUAGGAUAAUCCUUCCAAUAUGAUCUCCUUUACUUCUUCUAGUUCUCACCCUUCCUCGAUCACCUUCUUCAUUCCUUCUAACUCUUCUUGUAGUUGCGACCGUCAUGAUAGAGAAGGGAGGAACUCGACUCACAACGACCCUAUAGGGAACUCCACACACUCCAAAUUUGUGGCAGUGUAAGUCGACUCGUUCUAUCGUUCUCAGGUCUCCUUCUCUCUGGAGUCUAACUUCUACAUGAACUUCGGUUCCUUGUUCUACUAGAUCUCGAGUUUACGGGUUCACUAGUUGAACUUCUAGGUUACAGAAAGAGAGGGUUUCUUCAUUUUAUUCGACUACGUCAACUUCUACCUCUUGGACUCUAAGUAAACGGAUAAUAGUAUGUUCUCGCACUACACGGUCCAGAUGGAUUAGGAGAACUACAGUACGCAGGCAUAUCAAAGAAACGAUGAUGGAACGUAAUGUACUAAGGUAGUGAAUUCUAACUAAACUUUUGAGUAUACGAACCUAUGCUACUAUGUAUGUGACAACCGCCGUAACGAGUAUAAUUACUACUAGUGUGAAUAAAAGGAGUACGGUUUGGAUACGAAUUACUAUUUAUAGUAGGAGUACAAUCAUAACUCGAACGACUAAGGAUAGUAUGAGCAGUACAAGAAAUAUCGAUACGAAUACAUUAACCUAUGAGCUAACUACUGAACCUCCCAUAAUAGGGAUGGCGAACGUAGCAGAGAAAACACAUCAUAAGAAAGUCCAAAAACAAAGACGCAGCAAGUGAAGUACGACUGGUCCAAGCUCCACUGUAAGGAACCCUGGGACCACCUGAGUCUCGUACCCCUACUCCUCUUCGUUCCCCCGUGUGUACUUCUUCUCACUUCGACCUCGUACGUGCUCCUUCGUUUCCUAUUCUCGACGUCAACCACUCUACUAGAUCGCUUACGAUGUGAUAGUUUCGGGCCAACUGGGCGGUGAGUGGUAACGCACCACCGUGCGGCGAAAAGGGAGCUAGCGACCUCUUUUUAGUACCGUUCCGUGCCAAAAUUUAGCGGGUACUUUAGAAGUACUAGCGUAUUGUUUACAACAACCUCUCGGAGUUGUGAUACUAUGCUUUUCACGCUAUUCCGUGUUUUGAGAAGAUGAUGUUUACUAGUUCACUACCUCAGUUCCUCGACUCGCACUUCCUUUCUUCAUUGGCUCCCCGGUUUGAUUUCUACCCUCCUGGUUGAACCCUUCUUUCUUCCUUCUUCCUCCCGGUUACACUUUUGCAAAUCUAGACUAGCCCUCCCCUAGUUUUAGGGAUCGACGUAGAGGUAACGUUAGCUCGGACCGUAGAGGUAGAGAGAGGGGGAGUGGUGAAGAAGAGGGUGGAGGCCGGCGGCGGUGCCGGUCCGGUAGCACCGCCGCGCGGAGGCGCUGGAGCGAGGUGGUAGUGGGCGCGGUAGGUGGUGGGUGUGGUAGUAGAUAGGUAGUGUCGCGGUCGGUGGUCACGGGUGGAGCGCGCUGUAGAGGGAGGUCGGCCGCGCGGGCCGGUCUGUGUGGCGGCGACGAAGAAGAAGGGAAGAAGGGGCGAAGAGACUUAGGGACAGACGACGAGGAAGAAGGGGCACGGGGACGACGACGAGCAGAUGUUGAGAGGGGCGACGAUAGGAAGAGGUUCGAGCGAAGGAGAGACUUAGGGAUGACGACGACGAGAAGAUGAAAGGGGAUGGAGCGACAACAAGACGAGGAAGAGGUUCGGGGGUGCGACCUUUAGAAAGAGGUUCGGGGAGAAAAGGUUUCGUAUAUGUUGACUAGAACCGUUCAGGCUGGGAGACUGGCGGGCGCCUGUAUAGGCCUACGUAGGCACGUAUCAUUAGUCAGUGGGAAAUUUACAGGCGAAAGUAUCAGCCCGUAGAGUAAUUGUUUAGGAAUUCAGGUAUGUUAGUGUACGUAGCUUUUGAUAGAGAUGCUUUUAUGUAGAGCUAGGGUAAGUAUCGCAGCCCGAUGAAAUAGUACGUACGGUAGUCUCAUAGUUUUUAACUGUACAACAUGAUGUUGGUAUGCACUGUAGCCUGAUAAUUUUUAACUGUACAAGACAACCGUACAAGACGUAUGAUUAUUCGUUACCUCUUUAUAGUAGGUGAGAGCCUCCUUUUUUGUAGGUUCGGGUAGGCCGGUAGGACGGCGAGAGUUUCGAUGUGGUGGUGAGGUGACAAGUGAAACCACAGAAAAGCAGCGUGCACUUGAGGCUAAGGAUGUGCCCGGUACUGCUGGUCGAGGUGAGACCAGGAAUUUUUUCUCAAACUUUUG